RNAcentral lists this long non-coding RNA (551 nucleotides) under Homo sapiens (human). RNAcentral's name for it is "non-protein coding lnc-SMIM2-5:1". The record is from RNAcentral. Lineage: Eukaryota; Metazoa; Chordata; Mammalia; Primates; Hominidae.
GAAUUCCUUUGUCCAUUGCUGAGAGAUUAUGGUGACAUGGAUGUUGUUUUUCGAAAUGUUAAAAAACCUUAUUUUUGCAAGUCUGGCCAGAGAACAGGCUUUCCCCACAUUAUGUAAUUUAGUCCUUUGUGGCUUACUAAAAUAGGGAGAUGCCUGGAUAUUCGUUAGUAAGAGAGGGGCUGGCAUUUUCUGGAGGGUGAUACAUUACAUAGUGUUAAAUAACAUUCAAAAUAUGAUGCUAGCAAUAUCACAAAAUUGGGAGAUCCUUUUUAUCUUGGAAGCUUAAGAUAAAUUCCAUUUAUCGAUGACCUUUUUCCCUCCUCUUUUUCAGCUCCUCUGGUGCAAGUGUGGUAGCUAUUGACAACAAAAUCGAGCAAGCUAUGGAUCUAGUGAAAAGCCAUUUGAUGUAUGCGGUCAGAGAAGAAGUGGAGGUCCUCAAAGAGCAAAUCAAAGAACUAAUAGAGAAAAAUUCCCAGCUGGAGCAGGAGAACAAUCUGCUGAAGACACUGGCCAGUCCUGAGCAGCUUGCCCAGUUUCAGGCCCAGCUGCAG